GAAACUCAAAGGAAUUGACGGGGACCCGCACAAGCAGCGGAGCGUGUGGUUUAAUUCGUUGCUACACGAAGAACCUUACCUGGGUUUGACAUAUAGGUUGUAGGGAACUGAAAAGGGACCGACCCUUCGGGGAGCCUAUACAGGUGUUGCAUGGCUGUCGUCAGCUCGUGUCGUGAGAUGUUCGGUUAAGUCCGCUAACGAGCGCAACCCUCGUCGUAUGUUAUAUGUGUCAUACGAGACUGCCGGUAAAAAGCCGGAGGAAGGUGAGGAUGAUGUCAAGUCAGCAUGACCUUUAUAUCCAGGGCUACACACACGCUACAAUGGUCUGUACAAUGGGUAGCCAAGCCGCGAGGCGGAGCCAAUCCUGAAAGCAGGCCUCAGUUCAGAUUGCAGUCUGCAACUCGACUGCAUGAAGCCGGAGUUGCUAGUAACCGCAGGUCAGCAAUACUGCGGUGAAUACGUUCCCGGGUCUU
This 473-nucleotide ribosomal RNA is filed under the name uncultured Anaerolineaceae bacterium. RNAcentral describes it as "bacterial SSU rRNA". It matches the Rfam family "Bacterial small subunit ribosomal RNA", at positions 896 to 1382 of the family's 1533-position model. Lineage: Bacteria; Bacillati; Chloroflexota; Anaerolineae; Anaerolineales; Anaerolineaceae. The record is from RNAcentral.